This 802-nucleotide ribosomal RNA is filed under the name uncultured bacterium. Its description in RNAcentral is "bacterial SSU rRNA". It matches the Rfam family "Bacterial small subunit ribosomal RNA", at positions 1 to 811 of the family's 1533-position model. The record is from RNAcentral.
GAAUUCGCCCUUAGAGUUUGAUCCUGGCUCAGGACGAACGCUGGCGGCGCGCCUAACACAUGCAAGUCGAACGAGCGAGAGAGAGCUUGCUUUCUCGAGCGAGUGGCGAACGGGUGAGUAACGCGUGAGGAACCUGCCUCAAAGAGGGGGACAACAGUUGGAAACGACUGCUAAUACCGCAUAAGCCCACGGCUCGGCAUCGAGCAGAGGGAAAAGGAGCAAUCCGCUUUGAGAUGGCCUCGCGUCCGAUUAGCUAAUUGGUGAGGUAACGGCUCACCAAGGCGACGAUCAGUAGCCGGCUUGAGAGAGUGAACGGCCACAUUGGGACUGAGACACGGCCCAAACUCCUACGGGAGGCAGCAGUGGGGAAUAUUGCACAAUGGGGGAAACCCUGAUGCAGCGACGCCGCGUGAGUGAAGAAGUAUUUCGGUAUGUAAAGCUCUAUCAGCAGGGAAGAAAAUGACGGUACCUGACUAAGAAGCCCCGGCUAACUACGUGCCAGCAGCCGCGGUAAUACGUAGGGGGCAAGCGUUAUCCGGAAUUACUGGGUGUAAAGGGUGCGUAGGUGGUAUGGCAAGUCAGAAGUGAAAACCCAGGGCUUAACUCUGGGACUGCUUUUGAAACUGUCAGACUGGAGUGCAGGAGAGGUAAGCGGAAUUCCUAGUGUAGCGGUGAAAUGCGUAGAUAUUAGGAGGAACAUCAGUGGCGAAGGCGGCUUACUGGACUGAAACUGACACUGAGGCACGAAAGCGUGGGGAGCAAACAGGAUUAGAUACCCUGGUAGUCCACGCCGUAAACGAUG